UUAAUUUCAAGGAACACAUGAAGUCCUAGUUGAAAAUAUUAAAUAAUAACAAUAGUAACGAUUUAAUUGAUCAUAAAAAUAUCUUUUUAUUCAUACAAUUUGGAAGGAUUAAACUGAGUACAAUUUUAGAAACCAAAGUACAAAUACAAGAGAAAAGGAAACUAAUCAUCCUAAGGAUCCUCUAGCAAAAGUGUCAGAUGAUCUGGCUAAGGGCGCAUACUUCCUUCGGAUGCGGGAAAUCUCAGACUCAAAAGAUGUCUUCAUCUGAGCCUUCU
RNAcentral lists this long non-coding RNA (275 nucleotides) under Lathyrus oleraceus (garden pea). RNAcentral describes it as "Pisum sativum (pea) long non-coding RNA (PSAT_LNC023040)". The record is from RNAcentral. Lineage: Eukaryota; Viridiplantae; Streptophyta; Magnoliopsida; Fabales; Fabaceae.